This is an RNA transcript of Dendrobium catenatum, 1878 nucleotides long. It is a transcript of the gene named RING-H2 finger protein ATL54, with no coding region annotated. Lineage: Eukaryota; Viridiplantae; Streptophyta; Magnoliopsida; Asparagales; Orchidaceae. The record is from RefSeq and is a predicted model, not a curated record. The transcript has 4 exons.
UUUUUUAACUCCCCGCGAAAGGGCUUGCUUACUCUCCACAAAGCUGUCCCUGUAUCUGCUUCCGCAAUGGCAACCGGCCGUUGGAUCCUUUCCGUCGACGCAAUAAACGGCACCGGUUGCAUCGACGACUGCUACGCCUCCUUCCAUCGUCCACCACAACCGUCCUCCUCCUCCAGCCACCGUCUCUUCGCUAACGUCUUCAUCGCCGCCGUCUGCACGGCCGCCGCAGCGUUCUUCCUCGUCCUCACUUACUACACCGUUCUCGUUAGCCGCCGCCGGGUCGACCGUGUUGCCUCCGGCGACGACCUCCCCUUAGAGGCUGACGGUUCCGAGGCAGAUUACCACGUGUGGCGCAUUCGCACCGUCGGACUCGAUGAGUCUACCAUCAUCUCCAUUCCCACGAAGCCGUACAUCACCGGUGGAGGCGGCGGCACGGCCGACUGCUCCGUGUGUCUUGGCGAGUUUCAUGACGGCGACCUCGUUCGUCUCCUACCCGCCUGCGACCACUCUUUCCACGUCUCCUGUAUCGACACGUGGCUUCGGGCCCACAUUAACUGCCCUCUUUGCCGGGCUCACGUCAUCGUCCCCGCCGAUUCCGGUGGUGGUGGUUCGGCCACUAUGCAUCCAGACGGGAAUCCCCUUAUAACUGACCGAAGGGUUUCGGGGGACUUGGAAGAUGAUAGUGAAGGAGAAAUCAGAGUUGAAACUGUCACUGAUUCCACUAUGGACUGCCCCGAGAACUCUAUCCUUCGGGCUUUAACUAAUGUGCCUGGAAAUAAGUUGCAGCUGGUGUUGCGGUCAAACUCCAUUGAUUCGUUGACGCGACGUGAUCUAUUAAUCAGUCUAGAUAGAGAAUUGAACUGCUUGGAGGAGAGGAAGGAGCAGGAACAUUAUUUUUCCGAUGAAGAUGGUGGUAAUGAGAAGAAGGGUAAACAGGGUAGCAGUUCCAUAGGGGAUUGCCAGCAAAAGUGUUCAUCUGAAAUUGGAGGAGGAUCUACGUCUGGGAGUGGGAGAAUGUUCUUCUUAUCGAUAUAUGGGCGGGCUCGUAGCAGCUCGGUUCUUCCACUGUGAUAGAGGAUUGGUGUAUUGAUGAUGAUGCAUAUAAGGCUGCAAGGAUCUAUGUACUUCUAAAUUGCAAUGAAAUAAACCAUUAUAAGAGCUGGCUCUUGAUUGGAUUUUUUUAGAGCGGGAUGCAUCAGGCACAAAAAAUGAUUGCCCUUUUCCUACUUGUACUGAUAGAUAGUUCUCCCAAAAGGGCUUAAUCUUAAACUCCAAAAAUUGGUUAGUCAUUAACCUAAUGGUGUAUUAAAAAACAAUCAAAUUAAACUCUUCAGCUACUGUACGCUAUUUGCAUGAAGCCAGAAUCGCUAGUAAUUGCCGCUCAGCCAUACGGCGAUGAAUUCAUUCCUGGGCCUUGUACACACCGCCCGUCACACUAUGGGAGCUAGCCAUGCCCGAAGUCAUUACCUUAACCACAAGGAGGGGGAUGCCGAAGGCAGGGCUAGUGACUGGAGUGAAGUCGUAACAAGGUAGUCGUAAUGGAAGGUGCGACUGGAUCACCUCCUUUUCAAGGAGAGCUAAUGCUUAUGCUUGUUGGGUAUUUUGGUUUGACACUACUUGACACCCAAAAAGAAGCGAACUACGUCUCAACUAAGCUUGGACAUGAAAGUCUUCUUUCGUUUUUAGACUGUGACAUCAAUUGUUUUACACUGUACACCUCAUUGUAUAUAAAUGUUGUUUAACCUGAUGUUAUACGCUAUACAUCUGCUAUUGUAUGCAAUAGCUAUUUAAUCUGCAACGCACACUAAACUUCUGUAUGUAUUAAAUAAACCUGGUGUUAUACAACAUAUAUUCAUCUGCUGCGGUACAUUAUACCGA